UCCACAAAAUAAAACAUAGAGGCUACAUAAAAAAAUGUACAUUGUAUAGUAUAGCCCAGAUUGCGUAUAGACUGGUUGCUCAUUGACACUAGAGUAGUGAUAAGCAGAUUGACAGUGAAAAGCAGUUCAUCUCCAGGUCAUAAUUUGCACUUAGAUUACAUGUUUUUGCCUUUAUUUUCAACAAAUUUGAAAUAUAUUGAAACUGUUUUUUUUUUUUGUUUGUUUUUUUUAAAUUAGUAUCCAUUUUGUUUCAUUUAACUUGGAGACAAUGUCAGAGUCAACUGUUUUUCACAAAUUACUUUUUUUUAUGAUAUUGAUCAAUGGUUUUUACUGCACCAAAAUGUGAGAGCUCAGCUGCAGAAAUGUGCAAACAUCUGUCUCCAAAAACAGAGGGGGAGGGAUCGGCAUGUACAACAGCUGUCCUCAUAAUCGCAUGCUAUCGAUUCAUACUGCAGGAAAUCAAGGUUUCAUCCAAAUGUUGAUGUCUCAAGAUUAUACCACAUCCUCGUCAAGAAUUACCUUUAACUAACUCCAUCCGUUCAGCCAGUUUUAAAGUAUAAGUGAGACUUUUUACACAACAUUCAAGUGUUGGCCACUGAGUAAACACAGGAAGUGGGUGUGCUCCAUGGAACUAGAGGUCAGGGGGGCAAAAGGGGUUUUCGCUGGAUUCCCUGGAGUGAGCUGACAAAGGCAGACACCUUCCGCCCUACUCCAACAGCUUACCUAUGGCAACUCUGUCCCGACAGACACGCACCAUCAAAUGACAGCAAAUAAACCCAUUGACCUCCUUUAGGUAAUUAAAUUGCGACCUAGUCUUUCUGGU
Long non-coding RNA from Oryzias melastigma (Indian medaka), 823 nucleotides. RefSeq lists it as uncharacterized. The record is from RefSeq and is a predicted model, not a curated record. Lineage: Eukaryota; Metazoa; Chordata; Actinopteri; Beloniformes; Adrianichthyidae. The transcript is spliced from 3 exons.